This 640-nucleotide ribosomal RNA is filed under the name Enterococcus mundtii. Its description in RNAcentral is "bacterial SSU rRNA". It matches the Rfam family "Bacterial small subunit ribosomal RNA", at positions 225 to 856 of the family's 1533-position model. Lineage: Bacteria; Bacillati; Bacillota; Bacilli; Lactobacillales; Enterococcaceae. The record is from RNAcentral.
AUGGACCCGCGGUGCAUUAGCUAGUUGGUGAGGUAACGGCUCACCAAGGCCACGAUGCAUAGCCGACCUGAGAGGGUGAUCGGCCACAUUGGGACUGAGACACGGCCCAAACUCCUACGGGAGGCAGCAGUAGGGAAUCUUCGGCAAUGGACGAAAGUCUGACCGAGCAACGCCGCGUGAGUGAAGAAGGUUUUCGGAUCGUAAAACUCUGUUGUUAGAGAAGAACAAGGGUGAGAGUAACUGUUCACCCCUUGACGGUAUCUAACCAGAAAGCCACGGCUAACUACGUGCCAGCAGCCGCGGUAAUACGUAGGUGGCAAGCGUUGUCCGGAUUUAUUGGGCGUAAAGCGAGCGCAGGCGGUUUCUUAAGUCUGAUGUGAAAGCCCCCGGCUCAACCGGGGAGGGUCAUUGGAAACUGGGAGACUUGAGUGCAGAAGAGGAGAGUGGAAUUCCAUGUGUAGCGGUGAGAUGCGUAGAUAUAUGGAGGAACACCAGUGGCGAAGGCGGCUCUCUGGUCUGUAACUGACGCUGAGGCUCGAAAGCGUGCGGAGCACACAGGAUUAGAUACCCUGGUAGUCCACGCCGUAGACGAUGAGUGCUAAGUGUUGGAGGGUUUCCGCCCUUCAGUGCUGCAGCUAAC